Salmo salar (Atlantic salmon) is the source of this 1026-nucleotide long non-coding RNA. RefSeq lists it as uncharacterized. The record is from RefSeq and is a predicted model, not a curated record. NCBI's taxonomy places the organism in Eukaryota, Metazoa, Chordata, Actinopteri, Salmoniformes, Salmonidae.
UCCCACAUGUUACAGACCCGACAAGUGGAUUUCACAACACUCGCCAUUUAAUCAGAAUGGUAAACCAGACAUUAAAACCAGGGGUAAAACUAAUAACAAUAGUAAGCAGUAAACAAAUACACAAUAUAUAUUGUGUGUAUAAAAGAUGGGCCUACUCAAUGUCUUCUGGGGUAGAGGAAAAUAGAAUGAGCAAAAUCAUGUAUUUGUUGAAAAUAUUUGACAAAGAAAUUUGUUCACAGUUUAGCAGAGUGCGUUUCCUCUGCAUUAUUCACACAUAAUUGCUGAUGCAGGCAUCUGUGAUGAAUGUUCUCUCAUUGGCUUGUCUGUGCAGUCUGCACACACCAACAGCUAGAGCACUUGCAUAGAACUGAGCACCUUUCUUCAGCUCGUGACUACAAGCUACCUACCACAACCCAUAUAGUCUAUGACCAAGAUCAUCUUCUGAAGCCAACCCAUGUUGUGACUCAUCUUCAGCGCGCUGUCCUAUGUGGCUGACAGCAUAGCUUCCUGCUGCUGCCCCUCAGGAAAGAUCAAAUCAGCUACAGGAUGACAAUACCAGCUCAGGGGGGAGGAUGUGUGGACAGUCUUCAAAGGAGCACCAUCCAGUGAAAACCCUCCAGCCAAUAAGAUUCUCCCUUAGAUGGCUAUUUUAGAUAGGGACUAGGGGUAGGGUUUUAGUACUUUGAAAAUGCAUCCUUCCUUCAAGAUUUCACUGAUUAGUACAGAAUUAGAUAGUUCUGCAUAUGGCUAGCCGGUACUUUUCCUCUGUGCUUGGGAUAAUGACGACUUGUCUGUAAACUCCUUGUUUGGGAGGUGGAUAUAUCUGACAACACCCAAGUACAGAAGGUAACCAGCAGAGUUGAGUGUGGCUGAACUGCAACCUAUUUUGCUUUCAUUAUAUUUAGUCAAAUCUAUGACAAACGUAUUGAACAAGGUUAUAUGUAAUUAAGAAAAUGUUACUUGAUGGAGCAUAUUUCAGACUUGAUUGUAGCUUUUUUACCAGGAUCAUUUACCCUGGUAAAAAAU